GUGAGCUUGCUUUUCAAGUUCAACACAAGAAAAAGAAUUUCCAGAAUAAGAACUUCCAGCAUAACAAGAGACCUUUCCCACCAGGCAAGAAUCAGCAUGAGAGUGGCCCUUCCAGACCACCUCCACAGAAAGAAUGGGAAAAUUUUCCAGUUCAAAAAGACCAGUGCCUGAAGUGCAAAAAGAGAGGGCACUACAAGAGGGACUGCCCAGAAUUCCUGAAAGAGUUGUUAAGAAAGGGGAUCAAGUAUGAGGAGGACCCUGCCAAGAGGCGCAAGAAGAAUUAAAGUUGCAAACGGUGUAGAAGCUGAAGUCGAAGCCAUUGCAGAAUUUCAUUUAGAAUUACAUAAUGGCUUUGUACUUUGUUUGAGAGAUGUUCUUUAUGUACCGUCUUUGCAACGAAACUUAAUAAGUGUGUCUAAAUUAGAUGAUGACGCUAUUGCUUGUCAUUUUGGUGAUGGCAAGUGUAAGAUACAAGUUAAUUCAGAAUGUGUUGGUCUUGCCUUCCGACAAGACAAAUUAUAUUUGCUUUCAUUA
Panicum virgatum (switchgrass) is the source of this 534-nucleotide long non-coding RNA. RefSeq lists it as uncharacterized. The record is from RefSeq and is a predicted model, not a curated record. The transcript has 2 exons. Lineage: Eukaryota; Viridiplantae; Streptophyta; Magnoliopsida; Poales; Poaceae.